GUCAUGUUCCCCAUGUUCCAGGAGCUUGCACUACAUGACCCACACGACAAGUGUGGUCACCACUAUGUGAUCUGUCUUGACCUGAAGAACCAACGUUUUGAGGUGCUUGAUUCAAUCCGUUCGGAAGCUGAUGCAGACCUUACUACGCAUGCUGAAUUCUUCAUCAAAAACCUCAAAGAGACAUGGAACCGUCACUACGAACACUCAAAGGUCCAGAUCAGGCAUUUCCCGACUGAGUACGUGGCGACUGUGAAGCAUGGGAACACGACGGACAAUGGCUUUCACGCGUUGGAAUACUUUGCAAAGUGGGAAGGUAGACUUGUCCCCGCUGUCACAGCUGAAAUGGUCGUUGAGCUCUGGAAAAUCUACACAUGGAACUGGUUGACGAAUGAAGAUUUCAACAAGCGGUCCGGAGCACGCGAGUUCGUGGAGGAAGCUGUCAAG
RNAcentral lists this ribosomal RNA (444 nucleotides) under Triticum aestivum (bread wheat). RNAcentral describes it as "partial small subunit ribosomal RNA". The record is from RNAcentral. Lineage: Eukaryota; Viridiplantae; Streptophyta; Magnoliopsida; Poales; Poaceae.